AGUGUCCACGGAAACUUAUAAUCCCAACAUAUAAUUGGGUAUAAACUUUUGUUUUCUUGCUUGAUUUUUGAGUUUUGGCGCAUGUAUAUCUAUAUGUUGUAUUGGGUUCGUAUAUAUAUGUGUGGUUGUACUUGAUUGUGGUGGUGGUUGGAAGUCGUGGGCGUCAGCGGAUGGGUGGUGGCAGGGUUGUGUCACAGCCGCCACGAGAAGAGAAAGGGAGUUGAGGCGAGGCACCGGAGGUUGGACGGCGCUACACGGCCGUGAAAGCAGCGGCGUCGCAAUCGGAAUGUUGAUGAUAGGCUAUGGGAAGGUGGCUCCAUUUUCCCGAUGAACACUUCACCAUCACCCCUGCAUCUCUUGUUCCGAAUCAAUGGGUAUAAUCAAUGUUUCUUUGUUGAAAUCAGUAUAUAUAUAUAUAUAUAUGGGUAUACAUUUGUGUUAUAUUAGUUGAGUAUUGAGUUGAUUGUUUUAUUACUAAGAUUAAUUUGUGCUUAUGUGAUUAAGCGUAAAUUGAGGUAAUAUUUGCUUGAUUUGGAUUAUAUGCUUUCUUAUAUGUAUGAGUACAAGUAUGAUGAUUGUAUACAUAUUUUCGGAAUGGUAUUUCAAGAGUUAAAGUAGUAGAUUAAAGAUGUAGUACAAUACAAAAUAAAGCUGAAAUUCAGGUUGCUGCUGGUCUGAUUUGUAGCACAGUUCUGGGCUCAUUGAGUGAAUUUAUAUGCUUAGUAUUUCUGUGAUAAUGUGCUCCUUGAAGUCUAGUUUAAGUACCAACAAGAAUUUCAAAGUUUCGUUAAUCGAGCUAAAAGUUAUGGCCGCUUGAGUGGGGUAGGUGUGAGAUGAUAUUUGUACUGUGAUAAUGCCUCUGUUUGGAACCAUUUUCUGGGAAGCUUGUAUUGUGUUUGAGCAUUAAGUUCUUGUGGAAUUAUAUGCUUAUUGUAGUCUAGUUUAUUCUCUAAAAAGAUUCAUAGCAUUUAGAUUAUUGAGCUAAAAGUUAUGAUUAUUUUUGUAAGGUAUGCACAGAAUACAAAACUGCUUCGAUUUUUGACUUUGUAAACUAUAGUUAAAUUACUUAAACUUUGAUUUUAAAGCCAAAACUUAUUUUGUAGCCAUUCAUGGAGUCCAGGGUGGUCUCCUAAAAAUUUCAAGUAAAAAUCAUGUAUUUCUGAUUUAUUAAAAAUGUUUGAUUGUCAGUAGCACAUAUUUAUGAGAAUCCUGUUUUGAGGUCACAAAAAGAAUUAUUUUCGUAAAUUCAAAUCUAUGUGUUGAGUUGUGAUUUGUUGGAAUAUAAAUGUGUACUAAUGGUUAUUGGUCAAUAGUUGUUAAUUUACUGGAUCCAUAUAGGUAUAUAUUCAGAGGAUAUAGUAUUCACACCGUUUUAAUAAAUGAUUUGGUGCCUAUGUGUAAUGUUUGAAAUGUAUUAAUUCAAGAAUCCAGAAUAUUUAUGGAUAAGUUUUGUGCAUAGCCAAGUAUUCUGAAACUGAUUUAUGAUAUAAGUUUUAUGCUGACUUGGUGUAAUAAAAUGAGAUUUUUGCAUUAGGAACUACUCAUUACAUUGUGAUAUUAAGGAAGCAUGUGUACAAAUUAUAGUUGAACCACAUAGUAUUUUGGUGGCAGAUGAUUUUUAUAAAAAGGUAAAUUGUGACAUACUAUGGUUUUGAUUUAAAUCUUAAUAUUGACAUCGGUUAAGGAUAUGUGGAUUGAGCAGCCAAAGCUUUAAGGUAGAAUUAUGGGCAUUGUCAUAUUUGUGGAAAGUUAAUAUAUGAAUCACUGAGUUAUAUUUGUGUUCAGAGUAUUAUUAGUUUGUAGUUGUUGAGUUGUUGGUUUGGAAACUUGUUGGGUUGAUUAUUGAUACUAGAUUAAAACAGGUGGAUAGUCCGAUAAAUAGAGGAGAUGCUGCCGAAAUUUUGUUAGCAAUUAAGGAGGUACUGCCAAUGUGCUAGUGGUUUGUAUAUAAUCAGAUAUGAGAUUAUAUACGAAAAGAAUUGGAUAGUCAUAUAUGUAUAAAUAUUGAUGCAUAUGAAUUAUCUGAUGCGUGCUGAUAUGACUAUUUGUUUAACUAUGUGACACUAUGUGUAUAUAUCAUCAGUAUAUAGUAUGUGGAUUCAACGCGAUGGGUAGAACUGGAGUUUCGAUUUUAUGAUUUAGGCGACGAUGUGGAUUGUUCUUCGACUGAAGUAUUAUUAUACUAUCUUGUAGAACCAAGCUAGACGUGCGUAUCGAGGACGUUAAUAAGUAGUCGAAUUGCAAAGCAAGUCGAAUUUGGAAUGAUCUGAUAAGACGAAGCUAUGUCGUGGAUGGAAUCUUGUUAAAAGCAAAGCGAGAAUAAACAGUAUAGGAAAGGCUCUACUAGGUGACAGGAAAAUAGGUUCUUUGAACAAGAAGGAAAGCGAAUAAGGCAAGUAACUUUCCUCUCUCUCUCUCUCUCUCUCAUGCAACUUAUUGAUGAUUGAUGAUAAGUUCUGUCAACCUGAACUACCUUUCGAAUUAUGAAAACAUGAUUUCCUUUCUCAUUGAAUAUGAUGCCUCAUUUUUGAAUACAAGCUCUUUCAUGAUGAUCAUGCUCUUGUAUCCGGUAUAUUGCUAUCUUGAAAUAUCUUUCACUUGAUCGAAUGAUGUUUUCUUUUCAUGGAGUUGACCCCACAAGAAUAUGACACUUGUUUCGGUAAAUGAAACUAAGAAUGAUUUUAGACUUGCAAGUGUCCUAAUGAUUUGAAAGGUUGGUAAGUUUUUAAAAUGAAAAAUAUUUUUUAAAGAAGAAAGUGUUCCAAUUUAAUGGUUUUCCACGGAAUUCUAUUGAUUGGAGGCGUAAGUGGCCGAGUAACGCCGGUCCAGCUAUUUGAUUAUGAAGACCAGUGAGGGCUGGCACAUUAUGAAGACCAGUGAGGGCUGGCAUUUGAAAGGCCAAAUGAUAGUUGCCUUUCGGGUACCCUAUUCACGUCCAGAGGGGCUGUAAAGUCCGGUAUGGGGAUUGUACGUGGCUGAUCACCCGUGCAAUCCAGAGCGUUAUACACUCCAAUCGAGUAAAAUGUUUUAUGAAAAUAAAUGUCCAUGUAAUUGGACUAUUUUGAAAAUGAGAUGAUUUUCGAGAUUGAAAAUGAAGCUUAAAUGAACGUUUUGAAAGAAAAUGUUAUGAAAAGGGAAAUUUUAUGAAAGUUAUAAGGAAUGAAUGGUUUUUAUGAACUUAUGGUUUAUAAAUUGGUUUCUUUGGAAUGAUCCUUAAUUUUGGAACCUAUGUUGAAAAUUUUGUAUCUUUGCUUAUAAUCAGAAACCUCAUAUCUUAUUCAGUUGAACCGUUGUCUUAUUUAUUUACUCUAGUUACUUGCUGAGCUUUUGUAGCUCAUUCUGUUCUUUAUCUAACCCUUUCAGCUAGAUACAAAGAUGGUUCGCUUGUUUGGGUUGCGCUUAAGAAUAACGCUAGGCAAGGAUUUCAAGUGAGUAUGUCAGACCUCGAUGGUCAGGAUAAGUAUUUUGGAAGAUGUCAAGGGAACUAGCUGUGAUUAAGAUGGUAUAAUUUUGAUUCAGAUGUAAAGCAGAUUUAAGUUUUGGUUAUCAGUUAUUCUUCUUGUCGAAGUUUAUCUGGUAAUGUAGAAUAUGUUGUAUUAGAUUUAUAUUUUCGAUUUUCUGAUUUCAAUACUAUAGCCUGUAUGCGAUCCUGUUUUCAGGGGGUGAAAUUGAAUUUUACUUUAAAUCAUUUUAAAAAUAUCUAGGUUUCAAAAUAAUUGUUUUUAGCUUCUUUCAAAAAUACAGGUUUUAAAUUGUUUUUCUUUUAGUGGCACCAAAUCCAGACCCCCGGAUUUGAGGGAUGUCACAGUUGGUAUCAGAGCUACAGGUUAUAAGGUAUUGAAAUCAGAAUGUAGGUGGGAGCAACGUGGUUAAUAAGAGAGAUGUGCCAAGUGAAACCUCUUGUAGAGGUAAGUUAAGACUAUUGGGUAUAGUCUCUGUUAAUAGAAUUGAGAUUGAGUUAGAAUAUUGAAAUCGAGUAUUCAUUUGGUAUAUCAUAGUUCCUAAUUUUAGAAUUAAUGAGUUUGGUUCUCAUGAGAAACAUGAUAGACCACAUUUGGUUCGGAAUCGUUAUUUAGAGGUUUUAUGAUUAGAGCUAGUUGAUGUCAGACCAAUGGUUAUUUUCACACUCUCUAGAGUAUUCCUUGCUACGGAGAGAGUUGUUUGGAGAAUUGCCGAUUGCCCCUUGUGAAUUGAAUAUAGAGUUUGUACCUGAUUAUGAAAGCUGCAGGGUCAAAGUAAGAGCCCCCGCAUAUAGUUAAGUAAUGAAUGCUAAAGUUUAUCUAGAACACGUGUAGAUUAGUGGAUAUACUGAUAUAGUACUCAUGAGUAAAUUAAGACGUCAACACUUAGUUGUGAUGGUUGUACGAAACUCGAUAAGAUUUUGGACUGUGCGAAGCUGAGCAGGACUCCUGAUGAUCCUGGAUAUUUAUAUAUCAAUCUUCAAAGACCCUGCGAGUUGAUGAUAAAGUACAAUAUUAAGCAUUAUCGAAUACUGAGAAGAAAGGACUAUAAUCGAAUAGAGGUCCAUUAGAAGAAUAGAUCGAGAAAAUACAUGUGAGACUCUUGGUAAUACCUUCCUCUUUUGUCG
This 4588-nucleotide long non-coding RNA is filed under the name Daucus carota (carrot). RNAcentral describes it as "long non-coding RNA (DCAR_LNC001184)". The record is from RNAcentral. Lineage: Eukaryota; Viridiplantae; Streptophyta; Magnoliopsida; Apiales; Apiaceae.